UGUCGUCAGCUCGUGUUGUGAAAUGUUGGGUUAAGUCCCGCAACGAGCGCAACCCUUAUCCUUUGUUGCCAGCGGUCCGGCCGGGAACUCAAAGGAGACUGCCAGUGAUAAACUGGAGGAAGGUGGGGAUGACGUCAAGUCAUCAUGGCCCUUACGACCAGGGCUACACACGUGCUACAAUGGCGCAUACAAAGAGAAGCGACCUCGCGAGAGCAAGCGGACCUCAUAAAGUGCGUCGUAGUCCGGAUUGGAGUCUGCAACUCGACUCCAUGAAGUCGGAAUCGCUAGUAAUCGUGGAUCAGAAUGCCACGGUGAAUACGUUCCCGGGCCUUGUACACACCGCCCGUCACACCAUGGGAGU
RNAcentral lists this ribosomal RNA (361 nucleotides) under Escherichia coli. RNAcentral's name for it is "bacterial SSU rRNA". It matches the Rfam family "Bacterial small subunit ribosomal RNA", at positions 1050 to 1411 of the family's 1533-position model. The record is from RNAcentral. Lineage: Bacteria; Pseudomonadati; Pseudomonadota; Gammaproteobacteria; Enterobacterales; Enterobacteriaceae. RNAcentral also lists the same sequence under 2 other names.